AGUGAACGCUGGCGGUAGGCCUAACACAUGCAAGUCGAACGGCAGCACAGUAAGAGCUUGCUCUUACGGGUGGCGAGUGGCGGACGGGUGAGGAAUACAUCGGAAUCUACUUUUUCGUGGGGGAUAACGUAGGGAAACUUACGCUAAUACCGCAUACGACCUACGGGUGAAAGCAGGGGAUCUUCGGACCUUGCGCGAUUGAAUGAGCCGAUGUCGGAUUAGCUAGUUGGCGGGGUAAAGGCCCACCAAGGCGACGAUCCGUAGCUGGUCUGAGAGGAUGAUCAGCCACACUGGAAGUGGGACACGGGCCAGACUCCUAGGGGGGGCAGAAGGGGGGAAUAUUGGACAAGGGGGGCAAGCCUGAUCCAACCAACCCGGGGGGGGGAAGAAGGCCUUCGGGUUGUAAAGCCCUUUUGUUGGGAAAAAAAAGCAGCAGGUUAAUACCCCGCUGUUCGGGCGGUACCAAAAAAAUAAGCACCGGCUAACUUCUG
Molecule: ribosomal RNA, 491 nt
Filed under: uncultured bacterium
Lineage: Bacteria
Description: partial 16S ribosomal RNA
Rfam family: Bacterial small subunit ribosomal RNA
Source: RNAcentral